GUGAGGAAUAUUGCUCAAUGGGCGCAAGCCUGAAGCAGCAACGCCGCGUGGGCGAUGAAGGUUUUCGGAUCGUAAAGCCCUUUUCUAGGUGACGAGGAAGGACGGUAGCCUAGGAAUAAGUGUCGGCUAACUACGUGCCAGCAGCCGCGGUAAAACGUAGGACGCAAGCGUUAUCCGGAGUUACUGGGCGUAAAGAGCGCGCAGGCGGGUCGUUAAGUCAUUUAUGAAAGCCCUAGGCUAAACUUGGGGAGUGUGAAUGAUACUGGCGGUCUAGAGUGAGGAAGAGGGAUGUGGAAUUCCGCGUGUAGUGGUGAAAUGCGUAGAUAUGCGGAGGAACACCAGUGGCGAAGGCGACAUCCUGGUCCUUAACUGACGCUGAGGCGCGAAAGCAUGGGUAGCGAACGGGAUUAGAAACCCCAGUAGUCC
RNAcentral lists this ribosomal RNA (426 nucleotides) under uncultured bacterium. RNAcentral describes it as "bacterial SSU rRNA". It matches the Rfam family "Bacterial small subunit ribosomal RNA", at positions 354 to 796 of the family's 1533-position model. The record is from RNAcentral.